Molecule: transfer RNA, 90 nt
Filed under: Bacteroidales bacterium
Lineage: Bacteria; Pseudomonadati; Bacteroidota; Bacteroidia; Bacteroidales
Description: tRNA-Ser
Rfam family: tRNA
About the family: Transfer RNA (tRNA) molecules are approximately 80 nucleotides in length. Their secondary structure includes four short double-helical elements and three loops (D, anti-codon, and T loops).
Source: RNAcentral
GGAGAGAUGGCCGAGUGGUUGAAGGCGCACGCCUGGAAAGUGUGUAUACUGUCACAAACGGUAUCGAGGGUUCGAAUCCCUCUUUCUCCG